RNAcentral lists this ribosomal RNA (314 nucleotides) under uncultured Ruminobacter sp. Its description in RNAcentral is "partial 16S ribosomal RNA". The record is from RNAcentral. Lineage: Bacteria; Pseudomonadati; Pseudomonadota; Gammaproteobacteria; Aeromonadales; Succinivibrionaceae.
GGAGUCUGGACCGUGUCUCAGUUCCAGUGUGGCUGAUCAUCCUCUCAGACCAGCUAGAGAUCGUCGCCUUGGUAGGCCGUUACCCCACCAACUAGCUAAUCCCACCUGGGCGCAUCUGAAUGCGACCGGUUGCCCGGCCUUUCCCCCCUCAGGGCUUACGCGGUAUUAGCACCCGUUUCCAGCUGCUAUCCCCCCUGCACAGGGUAGGUUACCCACGCGUUACUCACCCGUCCGCCACUAACUUAUCUCAAAAGCAAGCUUCCAAAAUAAGCCCGUUCGACUUGCAUGUGUUAAGCACGCCGCCAGCGUUCAUC